ACACGACUACAUUAGAUACCCGGGUAGUCCCAGCUGUAAACGAUGCAGACUGGGUGUUUGGACGGCCACGUGCCGUUCUAGUGCCGCAGGGAAGCUGUUAAGUCUGCCGCCUGGGGAGUACGAUCGCAAGAUUGAAACUUAAAGGAAUUGGCGGGGGAGCACCACAAGGGGUGAAGCUUGCGGUUUAAUUGGACUCAACGCCGGGAAGCUCACCGGAUAAGACAGCGGAAUGAUUGCCGGGCUGAAGACCCUGCAUGACCAGCUG
Molecule: ribosomal RNA, 265 nt
Filed under: uncultured archaeon
Lineage: Archaea
Description: partial 16S ribosomal RNA
Rfam family: Archaeal small subunit ribosomal RNA
Source: RNAcentral